GACGAACGCUGGCGGCGUGCCUAACACAUGCAAGUCGAGCGGAGAUAAUUGAAAGCUUGCUUUUAGUUAUUUUAGCGGCGGACGGGUGAGUAACGCGUGGGCAACCUGCCUUUCACAGGGGGAUAACACAGGGAAACUUGUGCUAAUACCGCAUAAUACAACGAGGUGGCAUUACCUUGUUGUCAAAGGAGCAAUCCGGUGAUAGAUGGGGCCCGCGUCCAAUUAGCUAGUUGGUGAUGUAACGGACCACCAAGGCGACGAUUGGUAGCCGAACUGAGAGGUUGAUCGGCCACAUUGGGACUGAGACACGGCCCAGACUCCUACGGGAGGCA
This 332-nucleotide ribosomal RNA is filed under the name uncultured Bacillota bacterium. RNAcentral's name for it is "bacterial SSU rRNA". It matches the Rfam family "Bacterial small subunit ribosomal RNA", at positions 28 to 350 of the family's 1533-position model. The record is from RNAcentral. Lineage: Bacteria; Bacillati; Bacillota.